GAUGACCACAAUUUCCAGUUCCUCUUUGGGCAGCUGGGCUUUGGAGAUCUCCCAGAAAGGACUCUGUUGGUUAAUUUCAUGGCUAAUGAUCAGCGGUGACACCAGAAACAGACGGUCAUCCCCCGUGUAAUACCCUACGUUGAUAUCCGUCUGGUUCAACGGGAUGAACUCCCCCUCCGAGGUCUGUUUGGAUUUGAUCAACUUGGCUCUGAUGGAAGCCUCCACAAUGUGGGAAUUCCUUAGGUCCCCUACCCGGAACAUCAGGCACAGUUUCCCAUCCCGCAUGGAGAUCACUGCAUGGGUGGAAAAGACCAGGGUCUCUGCCCUCUUCUUGGGUUGAGAGAUUUUUACAAACAUGCAUCCCACCAUGAAUGCAUUGACAAUGGACCCCAACACAGAUUGGAUUAAGAGAAGAAUAAUUCCCUCCGGGCAUUUAUCUGUGAUGACCCGGUAGCCAUAACCAAUGGUGGUUUCUGUCUCUAUUGAGAAUAAAAAAGCAGAGACGAACCCGUUGAGGUUGGUAACACAAGGAGUCCAGGAGGGGUCCUCUAUGUGGUCCAUGUCUCCCCGUAUGUAUGCGAUCAACCACCAGAUCAUUCCAAAAAAGAGCCAGGUCACUGUGUAAACCAUGACAAAAAUCAAUAGGUUGAAUCUCCACUUCAGGUCCACUAAGGUGGUGAAGAUAUCGGUCAGGUAGCGAUAGGUCUCCCUCACGUUGCCGUGAUGAACAUUGCACUUUCCGUCUUUCCUCACGUACCUCUGGAUUUUCCUUUUGGUCCGGUCUCGGCUGAUGUGUCUUGGCAGGUCAUCCCUGGCCUGCUUAGGCAACUUUGGCUGGUGAAUGGCCACUGGGCUUUCGACGUCCUGAUCCAUGGAGUCGCCCUCCAGGACGUUAGCUGGUGGUUUGGAGAAAAGAAAAGAAACACUGAAUGAAAGGCUGGCUUUUUGAGGACAAUGGAACGGCACACUUUGUAUGGGCUGGUGAAACCAAAUACCAUUUGUGUAGCUAUAAACAAAGUAGACAAAGCCAUUUUUAUUCCACACCAUCUGGAUAGGCCUCUAGUUGACUUGGACUUCUGUGCUCUUCGAUCUAGUUUGUGUAAGUACUUCACCAUCCUGCCCACCAGGACGGAGCUUAUUGCUGCAAAAUUGUGUCCCUGCCAGCAGGUUCUACUGAGUCAGCUCUCACAGAGGGAUGCCUCCCAACUCUGAGACGCUGUGGCAUGGGAGAGGCAGUAAGCUCUGAUGAAGGAGUCCUCUUUAGAUUCAGACAGGCUUAGCUCUACUACUUAGCAACUCUUAGUGGGCUCUUGGCCAUGAUAUCUGUUAUGGACUGUAUCGUGUCCUCACCAAAUCCAUAUGGGGCUUGAGCCCCAACCCCUAAGGUGACAGUAUUUGGAGAUAAGGCCUUUAAGGAGAUAGUUAAAGGUUAUAUGAGGCCAUAGGGUUGGGGCUCCAAUCUAAUAGGAGUGGUAUCCUUAUGCGAAGAGGGAGAGACACCAGGGGUGCACACAAACAGAGGAAAAGCCAUAUGAGACACAGGGAGAAGGUGGCCAUCUGCAAGCCAAGGAGAGAGGGCUCCUAGAAACUAACCCUGCCAACACCUUGAUCUUGAACUCCAGCCUCCAGAACGAUGAGAAAAUAAAUGUCCAUUGUUUAAGCCACCCAGUCUGUGAUAUUCUAUUAUGGCAGCCUGAACUGACUUACAAGACACUAUCCAAAUUCGUGAGCCUCAGUUUCCUCAUUUACAAAAUGAUCAUGAUACCCAACUCACAGUGUUGUUAUAAGGUUAAACAAAACCAUGUAUGUGAUCUGUGCCUGCAUGUAACAGACUUGCAAUCAGUAUUUUUUUGUAAUAAAUUGUUCCCUUGUCACUUUCCUUAUGUUUAGGGCAAGAAUCUUGAACAAGCUCUUUGAACUAUUGGCCAAAUUUCAGGGUUUAAAAAACAUUUCUGGUUUUUGUCGCCUCAGGAAGAGACAGCAUCUGUUCUGCAGAGCCUACUCUCUAGUCUGACAGCUUUGACUUUUAGAUGAUCGCCCUCAGUAGUCCUUCAUUGAAAAUAAGAAAAGUCAUUCAUUUGAAGAGCUUACAAAGAGCUACGAUGCUAUAGCUCCAGACUGAAGAAUGGUGGGAUUUUGCCAUCAUAUUGAUUCCUGCGAUCUUGGAUUUAUAACCAGUUACUAGUUAGUGAUGCCUCUGGAUGAACACAUGAAGAAAGUGAGGCCCAGGGAAGCCAACAGAUUUGCCAGGAGGCAGAGCUGGAGUGAGCUCCCAGACCUUGGGAUCCUAGGCUGUCCGUUCCUCCUUCUGUGUUUCUCUGAAGCAGUGGCUGCUUCAGGCUAUUGUCUUGCCCAGGGAAUGUGGAGUUGGUGGUUUCCUUCUGAGAGCAAGAAGAAAUCUAUUGCUCCUGAUUCUUCCAGUGUGGAGCUUGGAGACAGCCAGUCCCGGGGAAUCCCAGCUCUGCUGCCCACCAGCAAAGGGACCUGCAGCCUUAAGUUUCAUAUGCAAAAUAGGGUGAAAUGUCCACCUUGCUGGGUUGCUGGGAGAAUGAAAUGACAUAAUGCACUUUGGGAGCCUGGUGACAAUGUGCUUGGCUAUAGUACCUGGUGGGCCUGGGUUGGAAUCCAGUUCUCCCAACUCCAAUCUGCAAGUAUUUGUUCAGGCCACUUCUGCCUCAGAGUCUGUUUCCUCAACUGCAUAAUGAAAACAAUAAGACCUACCUUAAAGAGUUACUGUGAGAAAGAAAAAAAUCCUGCAAGGAUGGCACCUGGUCCACAGCAGCCAUUGAACAAAUGACAGCAAUUAUGAUAGUGUCUGGGUCGAAGAAGGUACACAAUUUGUAACUACAAUAAUCACUAUUUUUAUAAGCUCAACAUUGUCCUGGAAACUGUGGGAAAUCCAGAAAUAAUCUAAGAAACAGAUGGGCAGACCCAUCUGGAAGCUAAGAGCCUGCUUGGUAACACAAAACCUGCGUAGUGCCCCAUAUCAAUGUGCAGUUGCAUUCUACACUGUGGACAAGAGGCCAAGAAUGUUCUAGUGCAUCAGAGACAGAGGCCAACAGUGGCUGGACUAAUUGGCAAAGGCAUCACAAAGGAGGUGGGAAAUUAUUGUGGCUCUGAUGUGUGAAAGGGAAAAAGCCAACCCUUACUGAAUAUCUAUUAUGUGCCAAGUACUGGGCGGGGCACAACAGCCCACAGCGGGAGUAUUGACCCGUUUUACAGAUGAGGCAGUGGAGGUGCAUAGGGUUCAGUCACUUGCUGAAACUUACAUGUCUAAUAUACGGUGGGGAUAGGAGAUUGAACCCUCCAUCAAGUUGG
Long non-coding RNA from Gorilla gorilla gorilla (western lowland gorilla), 3318 nucleotides. RefSeq lists it as uncharacterized. NCBI's taxonomy places the organism in Eukaryota, Metazoa, Chordata, Mammalia, Primates, Hominidae. The transcript is spliced from 4 exons. The record is from RefSeq and is a predicted model, not a curated record.